RNAcentral lists this unclassified non-coding RNA (356 nucleotides) under fungal sp. RNAcentral's name for it is "partial internal transcribed spacer region". The stretch from base 1 to 46 matches the Rfam family "Eukaryotic small subunit ribosomal RNA", at positions 1786 to 1831 of the family's 1831-position model. The record is from RNAcentral. Lineage: Eukaryota; Fungi.
AAGUCGUAACAAGGUUUCCGUAGGUGAACCUGCGGAAGGAUCAUUAUUGAAUAUUCUUGAUGGGUUGUAGCUGGCUCUUCGGGGCAUGUGCACACUUGUCUUGACUUUAUUCAUCCACCUGUGCACUUUUUGUAGUCUUGGGGGUUGAGAUCAGUCGACUAUCGGAUGGCUUAUAGCCUUUCCGGACGUGAGGAAUGCUGAGUGCAAAAGCAUACAGCUCUUCUCAAAUGACUUAUAAACCUCUCCCUCGAGUACUAUGUAUUCAUAUACCACAUAGUAUGUUGUAGAAUGUGAUCAAUGGGCCUAGUGCCUAUAAUAAUCAUAUACAACUUUCAGCAACGGAUCUCUUGGCUCUC